RNAcentral lists this ribosomal RNA (494 nucleotides) under uncultured bacterium. RNAcentral's name for it is "partial 16S ribosomal RNA". It matches the Rfam family "Bacterial small subunit ribosomal RNA", at positions 28 to 507 of the family's 1533-position model. The record is from RNAcentral.
GACGAACGCUGGCGGCGUGCUUAACACAUGCAAGUCGAACGGUGAAGCGCCUUCCUUUUUGGUGGGUGUGGAUGAGUGGCGAACGGGUGAGUAACACCUGAGUAACCUGCCCCCUUCUUCUGGAUAACCGCAUGAAAGUGUGGCUAAUACGGGAUAUUCUGGGUCUGUCGCAUGAUGGGUCUGGGAAAGAUAUUGUUUCGGUGGGGGAUGGGCUCGCGGCCUAUCAGCUUGUUGGUGGGGUGAUGGCCUACCAAGGCGGUGACGGGUAGCCGGCCUGAGAGGGUGGACGGUCACACUGGGACUGAGACACGGCCCAGACUCCUACGGGAGGCAGCAGUGGGGAAUAUUGCACAAUGGGCGCAAGCCUGAUGCAGCGACGCCGCGUGAGGGAUGGAGGCCUUCGGGUUGUGAACCUCUUUCGCCAGUGAAGCAGGCCUGCCUCGUUUGUGGGUGGGUUGACGGUAGCUGGAGAAGAAGCGCCGGCUAACUACGUG